CCUCAUCUGCUUCUCUGCCUCUGGUUUCGCAGGCUGUUUUUGAAAGAAAACAAGAGGGUGGGAAGGCUGACUUUCCCAAGAACUACAUGCGCCUCUGUUCUAAGAAACAGCCCGGACAAGGGGCUGCAGAAGACAAAACUUCUCUGCACAUUGCCGUGUGUGUAUAAGAAGGGAGGAAAAGGCUUCCUUUGUUGUGAGAUUUCUACACCUGUUGGCAUUCUGAUGUUCAGCCUUCGGUUGAAAAAUUGCUCAGUUUUCGGCUUCUCCUGCGUUGACUACAGAAAAAUCUGUGAAGCUUGAACAAGCGGCCUUCCCAAGAUGUACCGAAUAUCUCAACUGAUGUCAACACCAGUAGCAAGUAAAUGUCCUUCCAAGUCGGACGGACGAUUCGCUGGAGAGCUGUCUCCCAGGAGCCCUUUCCUUAGUUUUUCCUGUGAUUUCCUGGAUGGUGAGAGUUCCUUCAGAUGCUGCUCCACAGAUCCCCUGUCGGGCUCCCAGUAUAUCUGUCGGCGAAGUCCCCGGCUCCUCACCAAUGGCUACUAUAUUUGGACAGAAGACAGUUUCUGCUGUGACAAUGAUGGCCAUGUAACACUGAGCCCAUCCCGGACCAGUGUUGUGUACAAAGAGAACUUGGUUAGGAUAUUUAGAAAGAAAAGGAAGAUCCGCCAUUCCCUUUCAUCUCUCUUCGACCUGGGUGCCUCUGAAUCCUGGCUGCAUGAAAGUAUUUUUGACAGUGAUUCUUCCCCAAGGGAAGAAAAAUGGUUAGAAGGAAUCAGGAGUCUGGAGACAUACCAUUGCAAUCAAAAUGGAGAUGAUUUUGAUUUUUCCUCUCUGACUGAUUACUGGGAAUCAGAGAAGCUAAAUGCAGAGACUGCGAAAGGCUGUUCCUCCAGCCACACUGUUCCUCAGCCGCCAAGAGGAACUUCCCAGGAGGUGGAGCAUCAGUCCCAAUGGCCAGCUUCUGCACAUUCCCAAGACAGCCCAUUGGCUCAUUCAAAAUCCAGCUCACUGCGAGUGGUCUCCUUUCAGGCUAUCGUGUUUGCUGCAUGCUUAAUCAUUUCUGCCUGUGCAAGAUGCCUCGUGGGAGGGAUAUUAGCCAGUGUCUUUGCAGGCUCCGUGGCAAUCACCCUAACUUAUGUUAUCAAACCAUUGCUUCUCGGCCUUGCUGGCAGUUUCAGAGCUGCCACCUGCACUUGGUGAGUGCUGCCUGCGGGACCACUGUCUGCAUAAAGAUGGCAGACCCUGGAAUGUGUGCAGGGACUGUGCUCCAUAACAGAGCGCAGCGGUAGAGUGCAUGCAGGAAUGUGCUGAACGUCUGUCCUAAAGAGAAGUUUCUGUUCCCGCUUUCUCCCUCCCAGAUUAUUAUAUCCACACAAAUAGAUUUAAUCUUGAAGGCCAUAGGAAUAAGGGAAUGAUUGGGAAAGUGUAUCUAUUUCAAAGGCUUUAAUAGAAACUGGACCUUCUAUGAAAUACCCAUGUUAACGUACGUUUCUUUUUGAGUUUCCUAAAUGGCUGAGAAAACACCCAUGAAAUGAUCUCAGUUACAAACUGGUAUUUCUCUUCCCUCUCUUAUUCCCUUAAGGAGCCACCGUGUGCUGACCGAUGUGGCUCAGCAUAAUUCAAAGAACUACUGAGAUGAAAGACAAUUAGUCCUUGUUAGGAGCAGCUUCUCAAAGCUUGGAUUGGAACUAACCGCUCUGGAAUCGGCUGAAGAGCCUGUUUGGAGAGGGAGUGUGUCUGAAUCCCAACGCCAGUCCUCCAGAGUCAAAGCUUCUGCGGGACUUCACUGGAUAUCUUGUCACAUUAAACAUGGGAAUUUGGGAAAUACGAUUCCUAAACCUUUAUCUUUAUUUUCUAAACUGGCAUUGCUUAGCCUGCCAAAACUUGCAAAUGUGUUCUGCACUAUUUAAUAUUUCCAGUUCAGUUGAGCAGACACUGAUGCAUCCUCUAUCAUUAUGAGAUGCCAUUACCAGGUACCAAGGUCACAAUGCCAGGACACGUUGUUAGCCUCAAGAUCUCAAAGUCUGGUGAGUAAUAGACGUAUAACAGGCGAGGUGAAGUUGGAUUUUAAUUUGGUAAGUGUAGGUGGAGAGUUGAGCAUCAGCAGGAAGGUUUUCCCCAGACUAGGAGGGGUGGGAAUAUAGCCAGAAAGCUCCAUCUAUCACUGCCAAUAUCCUACCUGUUGGGGUUAUAGCAUCUGUUUCUUUUUCAUCCCCCUUCCUCAGUUUGGAACUCCUUGCUUGUUCUCUCGUAAAAGCGACUGCAUCAGGAUGUUAUUUCUACAGCCUGUUCAUGGAAUAAGAUCUCACCUUGGCUCAUUUAUGUAUCUGCUUGAACUUGCUCUUUUCUUGUUCUCACACUGGACAGAUUCUUUUUGUUUCCUGCACAGUCAGCCUCAUAUGCAAGCACUCUUCAAUUUAAGACUUGUGAGCACCAGGACUAUUGAGUUCUUUUCUGUAUCUAAUCCAAGACCUUGAAAAUAGUAUGUACUCCAUUAAUAUUGAUGGCAGUGAAUGCAUUUGCUGCAUCAUUCCUUGAAGUACUCCCUAUAUAGACUAGGCUCUGUGCCUAUAGGUUCAUAUUUUUGCAUAUCCUCUCUCUUAUACAACAUAUCCAGAAGGUAGCAUGCCAAGACAUGUGUAUUAAUAUCAAAUGCAGGCAUGUAUCCUAAAUCUUCCAUCAGUGAUGAGGAUCUGAGGUGGUGGAGUACAAGCCCUGAAUUUGGUUAAAGAAGCAUAACUACCAAAGUCCCCUCUCCCUCCAUAAUCCUGCACCAUGCAGGCACUUCAGACUUUUUACACCACAAUGUGAUCAUUCAGCUGCCUUCCUUGUUAAAUUUAAAACCUGUGAGUAUAUGGAGUUCCUAUUCACCAUUUCCCUUAGUGUCCUUUGCAAGUAAAGGUGACCACAAGCUUCCCGCAGGACAAAUAAUGAGUCAGCAUUUACAGUGUCCCUUCUGGGCAGUUACUCCUCCAUCGUAACAAGGUGCUGUCUGCCAGCUCUGCUGUCAGGUGUCUGCUGUCGUCGGCUGGCUCUGCUAGUUCAAAGACUGCGUUCAUAAAUGUGGCGAGUGAGUAAAUCUUAGAUAAUACAAUAUGGGGGAAGUCUGCGUGUUAAACACAUACAGUGCGAGACACAAGAGACCUAGCAUAGAGUGGAAGUUUUAACUAAGUACCAACCUAGGUUUGGGGACUGAAGCCUAUUUGGCCUUGCACAGCCAAAUGAGUGCACUAGGAACUACUGAGGCAAAACCCAAGAACUGCUCUAAGCUGAGAUUCCUAUUUCUAGUUGUGAUGACUUAAGCUAGUUGUGUGGAUGUGCGUGAACACCGUGAUUACACACUGCAUUUCCUGUGUGGGGAUGAAUUAUGCAUUUCUUUUCUCCUUUCUCUGAUCUAGGUUUCCCAAAAAUUGACAACUAACUUAGGAAUGCCUCUGAUGACUGUCUCCAAGCUGAGUAUCUGGAAACUGUCCGGCUUACAAGCAAUCUAUUUGGAAUCAAAGACUGUAUUGGAAGGGAAGGAGCAACUGGAUAAUUGAGAAGAAACAUUUUAAUUUGGCUGCAUGAUU
This is an RNA transcript of Ochotona curzoniae (black-lipped pika), 3569 nucleotides long. It is a transcript of the gene named transmembrane protein 71, with no coding region annotated. The transcript is spliced from 10 exons. NCBI's taxonomy places the organism in Eukaryota, Metazoa, Chordata, Mammalia, Lagomorpha, Ochotonidae. The record is from RefSeq and is a predicted model, not a curated record.